Molecule: ribosomal RNA, 433 nt
Filed under: uncultured bacterium
Lineage: Bacteria
Description: partial 16S ribosomal RNA
Rfam family: Bacterial small subunit ribosomal RNA
Source: RNAcentral
AGCGAACGCUGGCGGCAGGCCUAACACAUGCAAGUCGAACGAACUCUUCGGAGUUAGUGGCGGACGGGUGAGUAACACGUGGGAACGUGCCUUUUGGUUCGGAAUAACUCAGGGAAACUUGUGCUAAUACCGAAUGUGCCCUUCGGGGGAAAGAUUUAUCGCUAUUAGAGCGGCCCGCGUCUGAUUAGCUAGUUGGUGAGGUAACGGCUCACCAAGGCGACGAUCAGUAGCUGGUCUGAGAGGAUGACCAGCCACACUGGGACUGAGACACGGCCCAGACUCCUACGGGAGGCAGCAGAGGGGAAUCUUGCGCAAUGGGCGAAAGCCUGACGCAGCCAUGCCGCGUGAAUGAUGAAGGUCUUAGGAUUGUAAAAUUCUUUCACCGGGGACGAUAAUGACGGUACCCGGAGAAGAAGCCCCGGCUAACUUCGUG